GGAUGGGUGGCCGAGUGGUCUAUGGCAGCGGUCUUGAAAACCGCCAAUCCGCAAGGGUUCGUGGGUUCGAAUCCCACCCCAUCCGCCG
This 88-nucleotide transfer RNA is filed under the name uncultured Craurococcus sp. RNAcentral's name for it is "tRNA-Ser-TGA". It matches the Rfam family "tRNA". From Rfam's summary of the family: Transfer RNA (tRNA) molecules are approximately 80 nucleotides in length. Lineage: Bacteria; Pseudomonadati; Pseudomonadota; Alphaproteobacteria; Acetobacterales; Acetobacteraceae. The record is from RNAcentral.